GUGGUUCUUAACCGCAGUCUUCAUUUUUGUGGGUUUUCUGACCUUCCAACCACAGAUUGUCCAGCGUGGUGGGGUCACACAAGGACUGCUGUCCAGAGUUCGUGACGUAGUGCUCGUCACGAUCGCCCUCUUCUUCUUCACCUUAUUCUUCUUCUUCUUCAUUUCCCUGAAACCAUCGCGGAUUUUCAAGAAGAAGAAGCCCAACAGGAAGCCCUGCUUUCACUGUAAGCCGGUACUAAUUUUGCUGACCUUGGAAGGAUGGCAGGCUGAGUCAACCCACCUGGUGUUAUUUCACCACCUGGUGCUCAAAGUCAAGUGACGAGGAUCUUAAGCCAGCCACCUUAACCGUCAAGCCAAGUGGCAAACUCAAUGUUUUAUAUCCUAUAACAAUCUUACACUCACGUAACACGCUUUUUGUCUUUUCCAAAAUCAUACCUUGUUCUCCAACUGACAAACAUUCUCUUUGUUUCUGCAGUUUUCAAUGUGGAAGGAAAUAUGGACAGAAAAAAAAGGUCGAGGCACUUUCACAACGGUUGAGUGUGAAGGAUGACCAGUUCAACCAGCUUAACUUGGAAAACCAGGCACUUUCGGAAGAUCUCCGAAACGUUUCGAGCAAGUUGUCAGAAGUGCAACUUCAGCUCCAGAAACAGCAACAACAGCAUGAGUUCGAGCAAGAGAAGGUCUUGAAGAGCUUCCAACAAGACGAGUUGCUUUCACAAAGUUUGAGUGUAAAAGAUGAACAACUCACUGAGAUUACCGAGCAAAACAACUCUCUGAAGGAAGAUCUAAAAAACAUCAUGAACAAUUAUUCAGAGGUGCACCUUCAGCUCCAGAAACAGCAACAACAGCAUGAGUUCGAGCAAGAGAAGGUCUUGAAGAGCUUCCAACAAGUGGAGCUGCUUUCUCAGGAGAUGCAAGUGAAGGAGAAUGAAUACAAUGAGAUGAGUUUGGUACUUAACAUCCUUGUGGAGCAUGGCACACACUUGGAGAGUAAAUGUUCCGCAGCAGAACAGCAGCUGCAGGAACAGCAAGAAAAGCAGGAACAACAGAAUGUUGAACACCUAAAACAAGUAACGCUGAUGAAGAAGCACUUGCAGGACAAGAAGUGCUGGGAAGCAACGGUCGAUAAAAAUAACAAUUGCAUCAAAGCAAUAUACGAACUGCACAGAAGGUUGCAGCAAUUGGAGCAGCGACAACAGCAACCCCAGCACGAGCCACGUUCCCAGCUUCCUUUGGCUCAAGAGAAGAAACAGACGGAAACAGUUUCAUCAAAAGAACCAGCGUUGGCAUCACCAACAGCAAAACAAGGUAC
RNAcentral lists this long non-coding RNA (1312 nucleotides) under Eptatretus burgeri (inshore hagfish). RNAcentral's name for it is "lncRNA (ENSEBUG00000017166.1)". Lineage: Eukaryota; Metazoa; Chordata; Myxini; Myxiniformes; Myxinidae. The record is from RNAcentral.